UUAUUUCACUAGGGGAGUCUACUUGACUGAGAUGGAGUUCAACCUCCGGACCCUUGGAACCUGAUCUGGAUCAUACCAGCGGAGGGAAGUGGAACCGGACUUUC
This 104-nucleotide non-coding RNA is filed under the name Paenibacillus wynnii. RNAcentral describes it as "TPP sequence". It matches the Rfam family "TPP riboswitch aptamer (THI element)". From Rfam's summary of the family: Vitamin B(1) in its active form thiamin pyrophosphate (TPP) is an essential coenzyme that is synthesised by coupling of pyrimidine and thiazole moieties in bacteria. The record is from Rfam by way of RNAcentral. Lineage: Bacteria; Bacillati; Bacillota; Bacilli; Caryophanales; Paenibacillaceae.